This is a non-coding RNA of Chrysemys picta bellii (western painted turtle), 2282 nucleotides long. The record is from RefSeq and is a predicted model, not a curated record. Lineage: Eukaryota; Metazoa; Chordata; Testudines; Emydidae.
GCGAACAGAUGCAGCAGGAGACAGCAGUGUGGUUGAAUCUUUGUAGGUUUAACUCGUGAAUCAAAAUCCGCAGGGACAUCUUUGCUGGCUCAGGCCAGACAGUGUGCAGGGUACUUUUCAAGCCAGUCGCUGAGCAACGGUAUUUAGGAAAAUAAAGGUAGGUAAAUCAUUGCUAAUCUACAUUAUGAUUGGACUGUUGCAAACCAAUUGUUAUUUGCAAAAUGCAAGGGGCCUGAUCAAGCUCCCACUGAAAUCAACGGGGAGUCUUUCCACUGAUCGAAAUGGAACUUGGAUUGGGCCCUGAAUGCACUUAAGUCCAUUUCACAGGUUAACUUGUAUUUGCCAAAGCUCUCUGGGGCAAGGGCUGUCUUGUUAGCUGUGUUUGUACAGCACGUGGCAUGAUGGAGAACCAGAUUUCACUGGAGCUGCUGGGCAUUAACUUACGUGUAUAUUUAUUAAUAAAAAUAAUUAAUGAUUGAAGACAUUGGUGGGGUAUAAACUGGAGGUAGGAGAGGACUGUUCAUCCCAGAAGUUGGUGCCGUUUGAGGCAGAUUUCUAAAUGUGAAACAUCCUGAGAUGAUUGUAAAUGAUUGUUGUGUCUUUGAUUAGUGGCAGCCUGUGGGCCAAGCUUCUGCCUAAUGGGAACUGAAGUGGUGGAGAUUAUUAAUCCCAGGAAAAAAGGACUUUCUAGUGAAAACCCUUGGGGACCCUUCAAUCAAGGGGAAAAUCAGGAGUAAAUCUAUUGAAGUCAAUGAAAUUACACUGGUGUAAGCAUGACCAGGAAGCUGGACAGUAGGCCAGAGUUGCAGCCCUACUAAAUACCCAAGCAGUGUUUUGAGGCGAGCAGGGAAGUGGCUGCAUUUUUGGUGUGGUCCCUGAGCCAGCUGGAUAAACUAUCAGUGGCAGCCUCAGGAAGAGGCUCUAUGCUGGGGAAUGGGAGAGGGCUUAGCACCCUUUCCACCUGAACACCAGCAUUGGCUCUACUUGGAAACUCCCCACGAGGACACCAGAGGAGAGAGAAAACCAGCCUCCAAAGAUGCCAGAAGUGGAUAAGAGGCCACUAGUCCUUCCCUGCAAGAAGACAACACCAGGUAGGGCUGGAAGGAGGGGUGGGGGUAGAUUCAUGGGGGGUGAGCAAAGGGCAGCAUGACCUGGUGGGAUCCUGCACAGCUCUGAUAAGCAUCUGAACCCUGAACCUUUGGAGACUUCCCAGUCAUUAGAUCUAGUCCUUGGCUGUACUGAGACGGGUUUAGAAUGUGCGUUUCCCACUUCAUCUGUCUACUGCAUGGUGAGACUGGCUUGUUGCUUGGACAUGCCAAUGGGUUGUGAGUGUUUUUAUUUUGUCCCCCUUGGAGCCAUAGUGUAUAAAUCAGGCAGGCUUUGGGCACUCCAUGGGAUCCUGGUGGGAAACGUAAGGGUUUAUCUGUUGCCCCAGCUAUAACAAUAGCCAUUCUAUCCUUAACCCAAACUUGCUCUGGAGGCCCUACAUUCUGGUGUCAUAACAACACAUAGCCCUUACCAAGGUUCAAAGCCAGCACUCUGCUUUGAUUGGCAUGUGCAGGAUGCGGGACAGAGCUCCAUGGUUCAUCUGGGGAUGGUACCAGAGUGAUUAUAUCCCUGGCUCCUUCUGUCCUCCCCUGAUCUCCUGUGUGUCUCUGGAUGUCUUGUGUUGCGCUGUAGCUCUCCUCCACAAGCCGCAGUCAACAGAGGGGGCGGGCGUAGUAACUUGGUGCAAACAUGGUAGGUAUGGAAAUUGCAGUAUUUUGGAUGAGAAGUCAAUUGCUCAAGUGAUGCGUGGGAAUGUUUUGGGCCCUCAGACGAUCACAGAAAAUGGAAAGCCUGAGCAGGUGAAAAACGUGGCACAAAAUUCCAGAAAAAAAAAACUUUCCCCAGCUUCCCCCAGCCUUCACAUUUACAAUAGCUGCCAAUCCCCCCGGGAGUAGAAGUUGCCUACUUCUCUCUGCCUUGCGAGACUGAAAGGUAAAGUGAAAAGGAAGGGAGCUGUUUGAGAUCCCAAAUCAUACUGUAUGGCAACAUUAAAAAAAAGUAUUAAAAAACAAAAUAGUUGAGAGAAUCACUUCCUCUGCUCCUUGCCAUACAUGCCAAGACUUUGCUUUUCUCCGACAAUCAUUAAUCACACCUCUAAUAUGUCUGGGCCUGAUCCAUCCCUUAUUAAAAGCAAAGGAAAGAUUGCCUAUUGAAAACUGCCACUCAGAGUCGGACUGGGCUCGCUGAAAUCAGUGAUGAUCCUCCCACAUAGCACAACAUGCAGGAUCAGGGCU